AGAGUUUGAUCAUGGCUCAGGAUUAACGCUAGCGGCAGGCAUAAUACAUGCAAGUUGAGCGAGAUAAGUUGUAGCAAUACGGCUUUGAAAGCGGCGCACGGGUGCGUAACACGUAUGCAACCUACCUUUUACUAAGGAAUAGCCUCUCGAAAGAGAGAUUAAUACCUUAUAAUAUGUUUUGAAGGCAUCUUCAGAACCUUAAAGCUCCGGCGGUAAAAGAUGGGCAUGCGGUUGAUUAGCUAGUUGGUGAGGUAAUGGCUCACCAAGGCUUCGAUCAAUAGGGGGUCUGAGAGGAUGUCCCCCCACACUGGUACUGAGACACGGACCAGACUCCUACGGGAGGCAGCAGUAGGGAAUAUUGGACAAUGGGCGCAAGCCUGAUCCAGCCAUGCCGCGUGCAGGAUGAAGGCCCUAUGGGUCGUAAACUGCUUUUGUACGGGAAGAAACCUCACUACGUGUAGUGAGUUGACGGUACCGUGAGAAUAAGGAUCGGCUAACUUCGUGCCAGCAGCCGCGGUAAUACGAAGGAUCCAAGCGUUGUCCGGAUUUACUGGGUUUAAAGGGUGCGUAGGCGGACUUUUAAGUCAGUGGUGAAAGCUCGCAGCUUAACUGUGAAAUUGCCAUUGAAACUGAAAGUCUCGAGUGUGGUUGAGGUAACUGGAAUAUAUCAUGUAGCGGUGAAAUGCUUAGAUAUGAUAUAGAACACCAAUUGCGAAGGCAGGUUACUGAGCCACAACUGACGCUGAGGCACGAAAGCGUGGGGAUCAAACAGGAUUAGAUACCCUAGUAGUCC
RNAcentral lists this ribosomal RNA (793 nucleotides) under uncultured bacterium. RNAcentral describes it as "bacterial SSU rRNA". It matches the Rfam family "Bacterial small subunit ribosomal RNA", at positions 8 to 796 of the family's 1533-position model. The record is from RNAcentral.